GAACCUGGUUAGAGUGGUUAAGGCGAUGGUCUAGAAAUCCAUUGGGAUCUUCCCGCGUAGAUUCGAAUCCUACCUGCUACG
Molecule: non-coding RNA, 81 nt
Organism: Caerostris darwini
Lineage: Eukaryota; Metazoa; Arthropoda; Arachnida; Araneae; Araneidae
Source: the annotation of a GenBank genome assembly